AGUUCGGAUUGGAGCUGCAACUCGACUACAUGAAGCUGGAAUCGCUAGUAAUCGCGAAUCAGAAUGUCGCGGUGAAUACGUUCCCGGGUCUUGUACACACCGCCCGUCACACCAUGGGAGUUGGAAAUGCCCGAAGCCGGUGACCGAACCUUAGGGACGGAGCCGUCGAAGGUGGAGCCAAUGACUGGGGUGAAGUCGUAACAAGGUAAC
This 210-nucleotide ribosomal RNA is filed under the name uncultured bacterium. Its description in RNAcentral is "partial 16S ribosomal RNA". It matches the Rfam family "Bacterial small subunit ribosomal RNA", at positions 1290 to 1500 of the family's 1533-position model. The record is from RNAcentral.